GCCCAUGUGGCUCAGUGGCUAGAGCGUCGGCCUGCGGACUGAAGGGUCCCGGGUUCGAUUCCUGGCUCGGUCC
Molecule: transfer RNA, 73 nt
Filed under: Myotis brandtii (Brandt's bat)
Lineage: Eukaryota; Metazoa; Chordata; Mammalia; Chiroptera; Vespertilionidae
Rfam family: tRNA
About the family: Transfer RNA (tRNA) molecules are approximately 80 nucleotides in length. Their secondary structure includes four short double-helical elements and three loops (D, anti-codon, and T loops).
Source: Rfam by way of RNAcentral